GUACACUCCUGCGGGAGGCAGCAGUGGGGAAUUUUGGACAAUGGGCGAAAGCCUGAUCCAGCAAUGCCGCGUGAGUGAAGAAGGCCUUCGGGUUGUAAAGCUCUUUUGUCAGGGAAGAAACGGUGAAAGCUAAUAUCUUUUGCUAAUGACGGUACCUGAAGAAUAAGCACCGGCUAACUACGUGCCAGCAGCCACGGUAAUACGUAGGGUGCAAGCGUUAAUCGGAAUUACUGGGCGUAAAGCGUGCGCAGGCGGUUUUGUAAGUCUGAUGUGAAAUCCCCGGGCUCAACCUGGGAAUUGCAUUGGAGACUGCAAGGCUAGAAUCUGGCAGAGGGGGGUAGAAUUCCACGUGUAGCAGUGAAAUGCGUAGAUAUGUGGAGGAACACCGAUGGCGAAGGCAGCCCCCUGGGUCAAGAUUGACGCUCAUGCACGAAAGCGUGGGGAGCAAACAGGAUUAGAUACCCCUGUAGUCCCAUGAU
RNAcentral lists this ribosomal RNA (479 nucleotides) under uncultured organism. RNAcentral describes it as "partial 16S ribosomal RNA". It matches the Rfam family "Bacterial small subunit ribosomal RNA", at positions 331 to 801 of the family's 1533-position model. The record is from RNAcentral.